RNAcentral lists this small nucleolar RNA (78 nucleotides) under Zalophus californianus (California sea lion). RNAcentral describes it as "Small nucleolar RNA U3 (ENSZCAG00015007873.1)". It matches the Rfam family "Small nucleolar RNA U3", at positions 1 to 77 of the family's 219-position model. From Rfam's summary of the family: Small nucleolar RNAs (snoRNAs) are involved in the processing and modification of rRNA in the nucleolus. There are two main classes of snoRNAs: the box C/D class, and the box H/ACA class. U3 snoRNA is a member of the box C/D class. Lineage: Eukaryota; Metazoa; Chordata; Mammalia; Carnivora; Otariidae. RNAcentral also lists the same sequence under 1 other name. The record is from RNAcentral.
AAGGCUACACUUUUAGGGUUCAUUUCUAUAGUUUGUUACUAGAGAAGUUUCUCUGAAAAUGUAGAAUAUCCAGAAAAC